RNAcentral lists this ribosomal RNA (253 nucleotides) under uncultured bacterium. RNAcentral describes it as "partial 16S ribosomal RNA". It matches the Rfam family "Bacterial small subunit ribosomal RNA", at positions 524 to 776 of the family's 1533-position model. The record is from RNAcentral.
UACGUAGGGGGCAAGCGUUGUUCGGAAUUACUGGGCGUAAAGGGCGCGUAGGCGGCUGCGUAAGUCGGGCGUGAAAGCCCGGGGCUCAACCCCGGAAUGUCUCUCGAAACUGCGCGGCUCGAGUGCGGAAGAGGCAACUGGAAUUCCCAGUGUAGCGGUGAAAUGCGUAGAUAUUGGGAAGAACACCUGAGGCGAAGGCGGGUUGCUGGGCCGACACUGACGCUGAGGCGCGAAAGCCAGGGGAGCAAACGGG